This 499-nucleotide ribosomal RNA is filed under the name uncultured bacterium. RNAcentral describes it as "bacterial SSU rRNA". It matches the Rfam family "Bacterial small subunit ribosomal RNA", at positions 11 to 503 of the family's 1533-position model. The record is from RNAcentral.
GUUUGAUCCUGGCUCAGAUUGAACGCUGGCGGCAUGCCUUACACAUGCAAGUCGAACGGCAGCGCGGGAGCAAUCCUGGCGGCGAGUGGCGAACGGGUGAGUAACAUAUCGGAACGUGCCCUGGAGUGGGGGAUAACUAGUCGAAAGAUUAGCUAAUACCGCAUACGAUCUACGGAUGAAAGUGGGGGAUCCGCAAGGACCUCAUGCUCGUGGAGCGGCCGAUAUCUGAUUAGCUAGUUGGUGGGGUAAAAGCCUACCAAGGCGACGAUCAGUAGCUGGUUUGAGAGAACGACCAGCCACACUGGGACUGAGACACGGCCCAGACUCCUACGGGAGGCAGCAGUGGGGAAUUUUGGACAAUGGGGGCAACCCUGAUCCAGCAAUGCCGCGUGUGUGAAGAAGGCCUUCGGGUUGUAAAGCACUUUUGUCAGGGAAGAAACGGUGGAGGCUAAUAUCCUUUGCUAAUGACGGUACCUGAAGAAUAAGCACCGGCUAACUA